This 514-nucleotide ribosomal RNA is filed under the name SAR202 cluster bacterium. RNAcentral describes it as "partial 23S ribosomal RNA". It matches the Rfam family "Bacterial large subunit ribosomal RNA", at positions 1 to 486 of the family's 2925-position model. The record is from RNAcentral. Lineage: Bacteria; Bacillati; Chloroflexota; Dehalococcoidia.
GGUCAAGUUAUUAAGGGAUUACGGUGGAUGCCUUGGGUCCAAGAGCCGAAGAAGGGCGUGGUAAGACUGCGAAAAGCCUCGGCUAGCUGUCUAACGAGCUUAACCGGGGAUACCCGAAUGGGGAAACCCGUCCUGGGUUGUACCAGGACAUUCCGUAAGGAAAGGGAACCGCGUGAACUGAAACAUCUAAUUAACGCGAGGAGUAUAAAUCAACCGAGAUUCCCCUAGUAGUGGCGAACGAAAGGGGAAUAGCCUAAACCAGACGGGCUUAGUGGAAUGAGGUCCUAUGUCCGGUCGGGGUUGUAACACACGCCUGCCCUGACCUCGGUAGGGGCGAGAAGUCAAAAACCUUCUUCCUAGCCCAACGCACCUGGAAAGGACGACCAUAGAAGGUGAUAGUCCUGUAGGCGAAAGUGACGAAACUCUUGAGAAUUUGUUAAGUACCACGAGACACGAGAAAUCUUGUGGGAAUCUGGGGAGACCACUCUCCAAGGCUAAAUACUCUUGGACACCG